This 353-nucleotide long non-coding RNA is filed under the name Hordeum vulgare. RNAcentral's name for it is "long non-coding RNA (HVUL_LNC021650)". The record is from RNAcentral. Lineage: Eukaryota; Viridiplantae; Streptophyta; Magnoliopsida; Poales; Poaceae.
UUCAUUUGGUCUCUCUCUAGCACAAGUUGGUCCCUCUCCUUCUCGGCCUUCGCCCUAAGUACCUGAUGUAGAUUGGUGCAAAAAUGGUCUGUCAACUUCUUCUUCUCAAUCUCCUCUUUCAGAUCACUGAUAGCCAACCUAGCACUGCCAAGCUGAUUAAUAGCCUCCUCUUGUCAGCCACCAUUUUUGCAAAAUCAAGUUUGAAAAAUCUAAGCUCUUCCUCCAUCUUCCUCUUUUCUCCAAUUAUUUUGAAAUUUUCUUCACCCAGCUUCAGAUUUUCUCUGAUUUUGUCCUCGUUUUCUUUGUCAUGCAUGCUCCACAAUUGACCUAUGCAAAACUGCAUAGCAACUGAC